Long non-coding RNA from Sinocyclocheilus anshuiensis, 258 nucleotides. RefSeq lists it as uncharacterized. The record is from RefSeq and is a predicted model, not a curated record. The transcript is spliced from 3 exons. NCBI's taxonomy places the organism in Eukaryota, Metazoa, Chordata, Actinopteri, Cypriniformes, Cyprinidae.
AAAGGGAAGCACAAGGAAGAAGACUGGUAAUGCUGAGAUUUCAACAAUAAUUCCCAAAACAGCAUACAACACACACACUCAGUCUGCACAAGUUCCACUCUUCACAACAAAGAGAGAAGAGCGGAUGGCCUUCUUUUAGAUUCCAUGAACUACCAGGCUGGAGGCUUUUGUGGAUCCCUCAGGUCUGUAUUGCGACUGCUGGAGGGCUGCUGAGAAUUGUGGGGAGGAAGGAAGUGUAACAUCAUACAGAACAACAGA